ACGAACGCUGGCGGCAUGCCUAACACCUGCAAGUCGAACGAGACCUUCGGGUCUAGUGGCGCACGGGUGCGUAACGCGUGGGAACCUGCCCUUAGGUUCGGAAUAACUCCCCGAAAGGGGUGCUAAUACCGGAUAAUGUCUUCGGACCAAAGAUUUAUCGCCUUUGGAUGGGCCCGCGUUGGAUUAGCUAGUUGGUAGGGUAAAAGCCUACCAAGGCGACGAUCCAUAGCUGGUCUGAGAGGAUGAUCAGCCACACUGGGACUGAGACACGGCCCAGACUCCUACGGGAGGCAGCAGUGGGGAAUAUUGGACAAUGGGCGAAAGCCUGAUCCUGCAAUGCCGCGUGAGUGAUGAAGGCCUUAGGGUUGUAAAGCUCUUUUACCCGGGAUGAUAAUGACAGUACCGGGAGAAUAAGCUCCGGCUAACUCCGUG
This 432-nucleotide ribosomal RNA is filed under the name uncultured bacterium. Its description in RNAcentral is "partial 16S ribosomal RNA". It matches the Rfam family "Bacterial small subunit ribosomal RNA", at positions 29 to 507 of the family's 1533-position model. The record is from RNAcentral.